RNAcentral lists this unclassified non-coding RNA (145 nucleotides) under soil metagenome. RNAcentral describes it as "partial internal transcribed spacer 1". The record is from RNAcentral.
UAAUAAGUGUUUUAUGGCACUUUUUAAAUCCAUAUCCACCUUGUGUGCAAUGUCAGUCGAUCUUCUUCAUGGAGAUCGACCAAACAUCAACCUUAUUUUUUAACUCUUUGUCUGAAAAAAUAUUAUGAAUAAACAAUUCAAAAUA